GAGAGAGAAAAAAGUUUUAGCUUGGAAAGAAAGAAAAGAAAAGAGAAAUGCAAGAAGUGUGAUUCUCUGAAUGGUACAGUGUCCUUCUUAUAGCAAAAAGACAGCUGGUGAUCUGAUCAAAAACACUAAAGUGAUGAUUGAUAUUUUGCCUCGUGAUGUGUAAUGAAUACACCGCCAUUAUUUGUGUGGAUAUGAUUUAGUUAUUUCUGUAUGUUGUUUAUUCUGUAAGAUGUAAGAGUACACGAUAGAAGAAAUUUGAAUUUUGUCCGUAUGUAUGUUAAAUCGUGGCCGUGAAAAAGUUUCUCUGAUUUUACACCAAAGAACCAAUCCAUGAACAAAUGUUCAGCCAAUGAGAUUAUAGUACGUGACUACGUGUCAGAGUCCAACCUUGGUCAAAGAUGUAUUGGGAAAGAAAGAGGUCAAUGAUGUAGGUCAAUCUUAGUCAAAAUAAAAAAAAAGUUACACAAAGGCUAAAAAGUAAAAACAUUGCAAACAAAGAACAAACAGGUUUUUCAUGGACGAUUACAUAUUGAACAAAGAACAUACUGUACAUUGAUGAUCUGAUAUUUCACUUCUCUAGUUGAUUUUUCCGCUGUCGGGUUUUCAUAAUACCAAAAAUUGUAUAGCUUUAUCAUGUAUGGCAAAAAUAAUUAAACUUAAGUUGUGGUGUGGAGUAUUUAGUAGAGAGUAGUUUAGAUGCAACGAAAGCAUUAGCGGCUUCGGUAUAAUGAACACCAUCCCAGCUUAUGUAAUGUGAUCCUUCCUUGCAGACAUUACAGCCAGUUGUGCCACAAGUCAAGCUAGCAUUGUAGUUGUAUGGCGGUCCACCACUUCCACAGCAUGCCAUUAGUGAUUUCUGAAAACCUGUCGAAAAGUUUUGUAGACAAUCAGUACUCAAACUCGCAAACGAAAUUGAACUGUAUAUUAGUAGUUGAGAAACAUACCGUAUUUUGUGAAGUUUGCAAUAAGAUCAUACUUGAUGGUAUAUAUAUCUGUGUAAACAAUGGUUGCAUUCUUCAAUUCAGAUCUCAUUUCAUCGCAUAAGUCGAAUAAUCCUUUGUUAAACACCUUGGCAGCAUUGUUAAGAGAUAGAAUGCAUCCAUGUUGAUCAAUAUCACUUGCAUUUUUGUUAGAUAUAGCUAGUUUCUGAGGUAAACAACCCAAGGGCCCAGUACUAUGUACCCAGAAAUUCUUCCCACCAUGUUGAUAUAGAUUCUGUCAAAGAAUGAAAUGGAAUUGAAGUUUAUACAAAGAAACUAACAACCAACUUACCAUGCAUGCAUGACCAUCGAUGAUAAUGUUUGGGAAAGAAAGCUCACCAAUAUUGCAUACUUGAUUUCUGUAAGAAAAGAAGGUAUUUUCUUAAUGACUUUCUCAUAAGACAAUUUUGAUGAAAAUGCACCAGCAAUAUCAUUCUGACCAAUAUCAAUUGUGUAAAUUGCGUUUCGAAAUCCUUGCUCAUUGAUCAGAUUUCUCGUACCUAAGUGGAAUCAGAUAACUUCAUUUAAUUCAUGAAAAAACCGACAAUUAUUAGACCACUUAAGAGUAAAAUAAAAUUACCAUGUGAUAUAAGUUGGAGUGCGCGAGAUUUGAACCUGAGAAACUGAAGAACUUGAACGUUUAAGGAAAAAGGAACAUAUUCAGGUAGAGUGCAUGAACCACUUAUUGCAAAAUUUGCACCAUUUCUGAAAUUUGGAGCCAAGGAUUCCAAAUAUGGUGUCAAGUAGCUUGUAUUCAAACUUUGGCCUGUCAUAAAUUCACCAUGUGUACAUGUAAACAAUUGGGAUGCACGAUUAUUAUUAUAAUUCAACAUAAAUUAAUAAUCCAACCAUUAGAAACAAUUUGCUUUCAUUUUCGGUUUUUAUUUUGUAUUCCUAAUCAUAUAUCAAGAUCAUGGUAAGGUAAACCUUUCACAAAUGACAAAUCUCAAGUCAUUUUGAUUAAAUUAAUCUGCAUUAACUUUUACUAAUAGAAAACCAUUGAAGCCCCCAAAAGAUUAACAAAAGCCCUCAAACUCUAAUUGGGUCAGAUUUGUCUCAUUUAGAAGUCUGGCCUGUCCAACAAACGCCCAAGACCUCAUUCCUUAUUUGGCCCAUUUUAUAAUGGGUAAAGAUCAGAUUACUGGGUUUUGCCCAUUAUUCAGAUUCAGAUACACAAAAAAUAAACAGACCAUGAGGCCAACAGCAGUACAGCAGAAAAUGCAAAAAUCUUAUCAAUGUUCUUCUAAUAUUGGCCGGAUAUGAAUCGAAGACAAAGAAUGAGUCCUACGUCCCAUUUAGCCCACCCUACUUAUGAAUUAGUCCUGUUUGACUUUGGCUUUAAUGAUUAGUCCCACUUUCUAAUAUUAUUUAAUCUUACAUCUUUUUUCUUUGAAAAAGUUAUUAACUAAUCCUUGACUCAAUUUAUCCCACUAAAAUUUUCAAAUUUUAUAUUUUUAAAUGACAAUACUACCCUUUUAAAUUGUUUUUAACCAUUUCUUCAUUUAAUUAUACAAUUCUAAAAAAUUACUAACUAUUUAAGGCCCUAUUUAACUAUGUAAUUCCAAAAAAUUGCUAAUCAUUAACACUUGCAAUUCUCAAAAGUUGAUAACUAUUUAACUAUGCAAUUCUAAAUAAUUGCUAAUCAUUGACACUUGUAAUUGCUACUUGGAUUGCGUAACUAAUUUAAGUCCACUAGGGUUAACUACACUCAUACAUAGGUUAUAUUUAAUUAUUGACAUGUGGUGUUUUGUGAUUGGGUGUCUAUAAAUUAGUUGGGUAAUUAAUUCAAAUUCAUUAGGGUUAAUUACACCCAUACAUAGGUUAUAGUUUUUAUUAAAACAUACAAAUUUUCUUUGCAAUUCUAAAAAAUUGCUAACUUUAUGUGCAUUUCUAAAAAUUUGUUAAUGUCUUAUUUAUAUGUGCAAUUCUAAGAAUUGCUAACUUUUAAUUAUGUAAUUCUAAAAAAUUAUAAUAGCAAUUCCACUAAAUUGCACCACUAAUAUGCGGUUUCAAUUUUUGAUAGCAAUUCUUGACAGCAAUUCCACUUGUUACACUACCACUAACUUGGCGGUUUCCAAUUCUAAUAGCAAUUUCAAACUUUAAAUACUAGUAGUAGAGGGUAUUAUUGUAAACUAACUUUUGGUCAAAAAAACAGGACUAAUCAUUAAUGUGAUAGUUUGACGGGACUAAUUGAUAAUGUCCAUUGCAAUUUGGGAUGGCUAAUUUAAUCACUGGAAUCGAAGACCCUACAUUUUUUUUCUUUCCAUUAUUUUGUGAAAUAUUUCACGAAACUACCGCGAUAUAUAUAAAGAAAAAGAAGACAGUGCUCUAAUGUCAAAAAGAAUUCCAGGAUUUGUAUUGAUACAACACCAUCACCUUACUCUACUCAAAAUGUAUGGAACAUAAUAUUAUAGAACCGUGAUACGGUGGAGACCGACAUUAGGGGAAGAGAAGAAGAGAGGAAGAGAAAAGAAGAGAGAUUUCAAAAAAACAAAAAAAGACAGACAGAUAAAAAUUAAAAAUGAAAAAAAAGGGACAGACACAAGUUUGAGUUCCACCGGACUCUAAAAGGACCUCCUAACGUCGGUCGAUAAAACAAAGCCAAAAAAUUAAAUAGAUGGUAUGUUUGAUUGGUCGUGGGAAAAAUUCCCACAUCAAACAUUACCCCCAAAAUUCCCAGAUGCUUGUUUGAUUGGUAAAGUUGGGCCGUGUAAAAAUUCCAUGAUAAAAAUAUUUCUCACCAAUCUUUCCUUGACCCACCCCUAAAAAAAAUUCCCUGAGUUGUUGGGAAUAUUUUUUUGCCUAAUCAAACAACCAAAAUCUUUUCCACAUAAAAUUUUCCCCCAUUUUUUAUGUCCAAUCAAACAACCUAUUAGUGGGAAUUAUUUUAUGUGGGAAUAUUUUUAACUAUAAAAAUUCCCACGAGUAAUUAUUCCCACCAAUCAAACACACCCAGAAAAAAUCUAUAAAUGAUCAGAUAGAGAUUCCCCAAAAAAAAACUUUAAUGAUACAAUCAAUCACCAAAUUAAAUAUCAGAGAAAACAAAAAUUUGGACGGUGAAAUUUAAGUAAGAACAUGUGAAUCAGUAGGCUAAUUAUUUGGCUUAUUCACAAUUUCACAACCAACGGUAACACCAAUGAUCUAAGAUGUCCAUGCUGCUUUGAGAAUUGAGAAUUGAGAUACACACCUAGUGUAAGUGAUACACAUUAGUGAGUAACUGAGUAUCUCAAACCAGCAUGAACAUAUUGAUGAUGAGUUUUACCAGUGAUGCAAGAACAUAUAGCGAGAGUGGUAAUAUGAUCAACUUACAAAGAAAAUCGAUCACCAACCGUCCAUCAGAUAAUCGACCAGAUGGUUGAUGGAAGAAUAUACGACCAUUGGGUGGGCUAAAGAUGAUACCAGUACCAGAGGAAAAGCCACCAGUAUCAGAAUUGGAAUCACCAAAGUUGAAGAUAACAGGAUUACUGUUGCAUUGAGAAGUAACUAAUACAGGAAACAAAACAAGAAGAAAAUAUGGGAGAUACUGAUCAAGCCUAAGAGAUUGUGUGUGCCUUUUCUUCUCUCCCAUCUCUUUUGUACUAAAUGUUAUGUUCAGAUUCAGAAUUAGUUUGCGAUAUAAAUGACAGUAGAAACAAGAAGACAAAGAAACAUAUGUUAUAGGCCCCAUGUGUUAAGGGGAUGGAAAUGUGAAUGCUUGCAUGAUUAUCUCUGUUAUAAUAGCUGUUGCCUGUUGGUAUCCAUAUACAGUAUGAGGUAAAAAAUUAUUAAGGUGCAUUUAAUUGGAGAUUGCAGCAAAUAUAAGGAUUUUUAGCUCUAUGAAGUAUGAUUUGCAAGUGAUCAACUUUGAUCUUUUGGAACAUACAACACACAUUGAGCAAAAAAAAAAAAAUUGAUAUCUGUCCCCUGAGGAAAAGGAUUCAUAACUUUCCUGCAAAGAAAUGAAAAAUACAUUUUGCUAAUUGCCACAGAUGAAAAUGGAAACACAGAUCCUAUCAUCCCUCUUACAUUGCUCCUUUACUCAUAACAUCUGGCUUUCCACUAGAUGGUCAUAAUAUGAUCACAAUACAGUACACUCUUAGAGUGUUAGACAAUCACCAUCAGGCACAAAAUAUCAGCAAUUUACAUGGACCGCUUUGUUUACAAGUCUUUCUCAACAACACAACUUUUUCCCCAUCACAGUUUCAUUUUGAAGAUUGAGACCCCAAACAUCACAAAACCCAACCUCCAUAGAAGUUUUAUAAUAUCUGGUGAACGGUUGGAUUGGAGCCACCAAUCAUCAAAAGCUUAUAUCCAAUAUUAAAAUGAAAAUGCUACGUGCCACAAAGUUGAGAUCUCUAAACAUAGUUUGAAUUUGUUUUAAUGCCUUCAACACAUUUUUUUUUUUUUUAAUGGAAAUCUAACUUUUAUUAAUUAACAAACCUGUCACAGCUACACACAUGAGGUCCUUACAAAAUUUACAAACAAAAACUGUGGCAUUGAAUGCCUUCAACACUUGAAAUGGCCAAGAUUAUAAGCUACUUUCCCCCAAGAGUUAGCAGAAAUGUACAGUGAAAGCUAGCUAAAGGCACACCUUAUAAAUGCACAUCAUCCAUUAACACACAGAAAAUAUCGGUCCAUAGUUGGAACAAUACAUAUAUUUUUCACUUUAGUACCAAAAAACAUUAUAGGAGAAUGGUAAACCCCUGCUGAUAACACAUAACUACUGGAAUAGCCCCAUGUUUACAAUACAAUAUUUGCAUUAGAUGGUUUAAACUUGAAUCCAAGUGUCUGAAGCUCAUAUAACAAAGUUGUGAAUUAAGCAUAUACCGUGCCUAUAUAUACACACACACCCAUCAGCAACACACUGGAGCAACAUAGGCCUUCUACACAUUCAUGAUCCAUAUACACAAUGCUAUCAAAAUCGCUGGCAAGGAGCACCACGGCACCAAGUACCACUAAGUCGCCCCAAUGCCAAGACACACCAAGCUUUUGUCAUCCCUUGUUACAGGUGUCACCGAGGCACCAGAAGUGAAGCCUUGCCUGUGCCUUGACAGCAUAGGAUAUACUUCACACAUGUCUCCAAUGCAUAAUGUGAACAAUGGCCUCUUUUAAACCCAGACAAAGCUUAACAUGCAAAAACUAUCAGAAAUUUGUCUUCUGAAGAUAUUUGUAUUUUUUGGUGUAUUGUACUAAACAAAAAAAAAAGUAGAGAGUAUCGAUGCUGGUAUUAUCCCUCAAAAAAAAAAAGUCCAACAGAAAUUCUAAUUAAAUCUCAGUAACCCCCAAUGAGUUAUAUUAAUGUUUCGGUCAAGUUUAAAAGGUAUAUUCCAUGUCCAACCAAAGAAUAAUGACUGCAGCAACAACUCAUGAAAAAUGCACAACUGCAUGGAAUACUAGUUUAUGGUAUCCAAAAGAUCACAAUGAACUCACCAUUGCUUUGGAUGCUGCAAUUCCAAAAUAACAAUAAGAGCAGCACCUUAUCAUGAAGUUCCCUGCCAAGCAUCCUUCCAUGUUUGAAAAAAGCAGCGGAGACACCAGCUAUCCUGCCAGAUUUCUUUUCGAGUGAUCAACACCUGUUAUUAACCAACAACCAACACAAAAUAGCAAGUAACCACGACUAAUGAGUUACAAUAAUCAUAUGGUAAUGACAUUUAUAAGCUAGUAGGCAAUAGCUCAUAAGAGAAACCUUGUCAUGGAACGUCCACACUGCUUUCUCUUCAAUCCAAAAGCUAUCGCAAGCCAACAUAAAGGUAGAAGAAGGUUGAGUCACUGUCAGCACAAGAAGAAAUCCAACAAAAAAAAAAAGCACAAGAACAGCAAAAUAUAGGUCGUCUACCACCAUCUAAGUAACAACAACAGGAACACAAUCCAUAGCACAUUAACUUUACUAACAGGCAAUUUAUCAAUAGAUUAAAAUAGUAAUAACAUUAUUAGUUGAAGUACGCAUAGAACGACGAAAAUCAACUAUUUGAACAAAGAAAUAAUCAAUUAUGUAAACCAAGAUACGAACAUCCAAAUGAAACACAUAAAAUCUAACUGAAUAAAAGGAAAGAAGCAAUGUAAAACAAAAUACCAAUAUAAAUGAAACACAUAAACAAUUAACUUUUUUUUGUAUUAUGGAUCUCUUGAUAAAGGAAAAAUAAAUAAAAGGGAAAUUUUACAACUCGUAACUUCCCAACUAAGCAUCACAAACAUAAAGAAUCCCCAUCAUCUUAAUCCAUCCCUCCUGACCAAAACAUUUUGGAGAACAUCCUUAGUAGAAUCCUCCAUUGCAGCAAAAUGGAAAACAAUUAGAAAAAGAAAAAACCUCAAGACAUAUCUGAUCACCUAAGGCUAUAACCAGGUAACAGAAGUAUGGUACAGUUGGGUUACAAAAGAAAGGAACAAAAAACAUUCCAAAGCCCACAACCAUCCAACUAAGAAGUAAAUGGUUUUCUGCAAUGUAAAAUUCAAUUAUCUUUCAGCAUCAGAUUCCUCCAGAGUUAUCAAAAUUAAAUGCCAUCUUUGGAGGAAGUUUCUGUGCUUGGCUUAUCAAGUGCCAGUCCUUUAGGAACAAUGGGAAUGGACCCCACUGUUAAGAUUCCAGAAGAAGCUUCAGAAAAUCCAUUGACCUUAACAGGCAUGGAGCCCACCGUGAAAACAUCAACUGUUUCUGUAUUUGCUAAUGUAGCUGCAGCAGAUGGCUUAGCUUCUACUAGCUUCGGAUCAAUUGUAAGGGACCCGAUCUUUAAAACAGAUGUCACACCAUUUGUGUCUUCAAAAGUGUUAAGCUUAGUACUGCCAUCUGUGCUACUUAAUGAGUUCGCAACAUCUUGUUCUAAAGGAACUUGCUCAUCGGUGGAUGUCCUUCCUAAAAUACUCGGAUGAACUUUCUCAUUGGUGUUGUCGAUUUCAUCUGAACUAAGAGGCUGAUGAGCAACACCAAUCGCUUUGUUCAGAGGAACAUAUGCAGGUAUAUAGAAGGAACCAUCAUAGCUUUUGCCAUGAAGCCUUGCUUUCUCUUCCUGCAGAAUCUUCUGCCUUCCUUCGUAGUACAUAAAAUCAUCAAGUAUAGAUGUCUUCAAUGUGUGGUUCUUAAAAAUCUUCAACAUCUCUGUGCCUUGCCUAUAUUUUAUCUGCAUAUUUCCAAUAACACAACUGUUAGCUCAACUUCUUUCUUCUGAUCAUAGCUUAAGACAAGAUGCAAUCACAAAUAUACAUCAACUCAGCAUAAUUUCAGACGAGCAUGUUACCCUUAAAACUUCAAAACAGUCUGAUAUAUUUUAAACAAGACAAAGGAGAUUGUGAGACAAAAGUGGUAGCGGCAGAAGCCAGACAUAAUGGGUAACACACUAACACCAGAGAUUCCCCAUAAACUUGUGUUGAUUGUGCACUGUUCAAAAAACUUAUUUGCAUAUACAACUAGUCUGGGUAGGUCAUAAAACUGUAUACAUGCGUGGAUCCAGGGAUGCAUUAAAAUUUAAAAGUAAUUAUCAACUCCUCAUAAAAGCACUACACUAAAAUAAUCUUUUGGUCAAAGGAAGAUUCCAGAUUCAUUCUAUGUUCAAUCUGUUAGUAGUCUGGGUAUGUAACCAAACUAUACAUCUAAUGAAAAUCUAUUUCAGCACUUUAUGAAAAGAGUGAUGAACAUCUUCUUAAUUGCCAUUUAUAAGAAAGUAACAUAGUAUUCUUGACAAUGUUUAUUUAAAUCAUAUGAAAUGGUGUUGUCUGUUAGAUAUCAACAAAAGAUCGGUCUUCAUCAACAGUUGGUGUGAAGCAACAUGGCAAGGUUGAUAAAUGAUCAUAUAGAGAUAACCACCUAUCAUGUUGUAUUCAGCUAUUACAGUCUUGAAUCAUAAUUUAGCAGUAGUAAAGUCAAUAGAAAACUUUCUUUUGUACUAAUAUAUUUAGCACCAACCUAAAUUUGCAAAAGUUUGCUAACAAAGGAACGAAAGAUUUGAGACCAUUUUUCGGUGCCAAUUUCAACACCAUACAAAUCACAACCAUUAUAUAUGUUUCAUGACUUCAUCUAAGAAGAAUAACAUGGCAAAGGACACAUUCUAGUGCAAUAGGGCUCCUGCACAUCAUCUUGUAUAUACACAAUUUCAUACAGUGGCAUACAAAUGCAUCUUGUCAACAAUACUCAUAAAUAACCAUGGUUGCACUUAGACUGUCAUUCAAAAAUCAGAAUUAUCUAUUAGAUUAAAUUUAAUGAAUCCACACAACAAGAUAUAUAGGUUAACUACAUGGAAAAGUCCUCCAAAAUCAUGCUCUCUCCAUAACAAUUUGAUUCUACAACAUUUAUGUCAGGCAUAUGAGCUUGAAAGCACAUACAGUUAAGAUAAAGUUAUAAUUACCUCUUGUGUAUCUCUGCUAUUAGUCACUGGUUUAUUCUCGUUGUUCUCUAGUAUGAUAUGACGGAAGUUAGUAUUUGGUACAUCUUUAAUUAUAUGCCACUUAACGGGGAAGCUUCCACUCCAUUUAUCCUGUUGCCAAAACUCCAUAUCCUUGUUGAAGUCAACUCGACCAACCAUCUCUGCAACACCACAGAACUGCCCACUUGCAUUAACCUGUUUUUAAAGACGAUUCCAUCAGCAACAGUCAGAAUGAAGGAAAGUGCAGUCCCAAAACUGACAAAUAAAACAUUUUUUCAUCUGCUCUUUGCCAGUAGUGUAAUCUAAAAAGCAACAUAAAACUUGAAAAGCAAGAAACUUACAGAAAAGAAAAGAAAUACAGGACAGCCUCUUGAAUUUCCCGACGCUAUUCUUUGUGCGUCUUCAUAAGCACUGUCCAACCUCUUGUUUCCAUUUGGGGUACUUGACCAUACAUUAUAUUUAAUGCUCUUAUGCACAUCAUCCUCGCUGUAAGAUUUGAUUACAAAGAACUUGCCAUUAGCAUAGCUAACUGAGAAAUCGUCCUUGUUAUAUUGAUCAGGAUUAAUAGUUAUCUUCCCAUUUGUAACAGUAGUCCCAACAUUGGUCGAUGGUGUCCAUUGACCUCUAGACCUGUUUGUCCUAGGCCCACGAUUUUGUUCACUAAGAAAAUCUGGAUUUCCAUUUCCAUUGUUUGAAACUCCACCAUAGUGAAACCUUGGCCUAAGCCUAUCAACCAUAGGCCACCCCCGAGCAUUUGUCCCAAUGUCAGAUGAAACAUUAGUAACAGGCAGAGAAACUUUUGCUGAAGCAGGAAGUGAGGGAACCUGUCCAAAUGUUAAUUGAUCUGCAGGUUGAACUGAUCCAGAAGCAUUUCUACCCUGCACAUAUAAUUAAAAAUUGUGGGAUAAGUUACUGACCCUUGAAUUCCAAAAAAAAUCUAUUAGGAAUGUCAACACAAUUAGGAAUCUGCAGUCGAUAUGUCUGCAUCAUAUCAUAAUAGCCUGUAAACAUGUUACAAGCUCCACCUCUCAAUAUUAAAAGUUCGCAAAUGACACGCCUCUAAACAUUCAGGGUAGAUUAUCUCUAAACAACCACCCUUAUAAACAUUAUUUCAUACUAUGCUCUUCCCAAAGUGCAGUAACUACCAAGUAAGAAACAUUCCUCAAUCCAAAAUGCUUGCCAACAAGAACGCAUAGCUUCUUUACGAUGACAAAAGAAAGACCAUUACACCUCAACUAAUCCGUUAUAACAUAUUAAAGCGAUUAAACAACUGGCUCAAUCAUAAUAAGAACAUGGAUACAGCAAGGAUUCGUGCAAAUCUAAAUCAUUGUUGCACUCCCUUCUUCCAAAGGACUGAAAGGAGAAAAGGAACACUGAUAUAUGAGCAUAAACAUACCUGAGCAACUGGAGCUGAUGCUGCACGAGAAACACUCACAGAAGCAGUACUUGUAUGGGUUGCGGGCUGCUUAUUAUUUGCCGAAUUAGCUUUGGAAACUUCAGAUCUUUUACCAGACGAAUGGGGCUGGUUAAAAUUCUUAUCAUUGUCACCCAGCGAAGCCCUUAGCGGGACCUUGCCUGAACCUCCAGAUGCUGAUUGAUGGUUAAAUUUUAAACCUGGGCCAUCAGUGCCAUUAACAUUUGGCACACCAGCAUUUAACAAAUGGGGUUCUUGUGCAUUGCUUGGAAUAUUUUCCGCCAUAGGCUGAACAAGAUACGGGUAAUAAGCAGGUGAGGCAGGGUUCUGAUAAGUUGAUCCUGUGUAGUAUUGUUGCAUUCCCACAAAUGAACCAUCAACUCCUAUGACAGCACCAGGUAUGUAUGGGUUAUAUGGAUUGUAUGGAGACUGUGCAUAUCCAUAGCUAGGUGUAUAAUAUACAUAAGGUAAAUUCUCUGUCUGUAAACCCUGAAACAGAAACAUGGACAAUAUGAACAUCAAGAAAUAUAAAAAUAUAAGCUAUUAUGAUGAAUAUAAAAACAUAUCAAAACCAACUUACAGCAUAUUGAAGAUUGGGAUUAUCUAACCCAAAAAACCUGUGGUUGUCAUCCCAUUCGCCAGUCGAUUCGAAUCCUGGAAAUACACAACAACAAACUAAUGAUUGGGCAGCCAUAAAAAGCGUCAAAAAGGAUGAAUUCAUUGAGAUGAACUCUAUAACUAACCUGUACAGUAGUAUCCAUAAUAAUUGUUGGCAGCAGGAUAAUACAGGCCCUGGUCAACAAUGAAUUCUGGAGAUCCUUCGCUACCCAUGACUUCCAAUUGCCCAAGAGAUGGAGUCGUAGCUAAAUGUGGGUUGGACUCGGAACCUUGAAUCUAAAAAUCAUGACAAGGAUAUCAGGUAAGUUCUCUACACCAACCUUAUCCAGGCCAAGACAUCUGAAGAAAUCUUUAAUAAUGAAAACAAAUGAAUUUCAAUUUAAGCAUGAUUAAGUAAACUAAAAAUCUAGUUUGUAGAAUAAGUUGAAAGAGGGUAAAACAGUAAAGAUGAAUCCUAAAUUCAGUAUAGUAUUAAAAACUAGAGUAGCCAGGUGCCAACAUGACAGGUAAUCAUAAUUUCAAAAAGAUUAAAGAUGACCAAUUGAUUGACUUCAUCAGCCAAAAACUAGAUGUCUGAAAUUUUAGUAGAUUACGAUUAUUUGAAUCUUUGCCCCCUCAAAUUCUUUGGCUUUACAAUUUCACAAGUGUGUUUGCAUAUCAUACUACACUCAUCAUCAUAAUUAAUUCAUGCAGGAUGAUUAGCACAAAGAAAAUUAUUCUUUAGUCACUGUGAUUUAUUACCAUGUAUAUUUCUGAAGUUCCAUGCUCAGAACCACUGUAGCUUUCCAUUGAGGGACUACCACCCUAUAGAAAAUGGAAUAGAGAUAAGAAGAAUAAAAAACCAUUUAAAGUCAUAACAAGAACACGAAAGAUAAAUAUUUACAUUUUUGCAGUAGAUAUACUAUAACAUGAAGAUAGUACUGUGAUAGUUGUCAGAUGAUGAUCAAGUCACCACCAAUUACAUUAAUGAAAUCACUGAUUGAGCUUAACAAAUUUUGUACAAAACAGUGUACACCACAUGUUACAAUUCCUUAUACAUAGCAAGCACAUUGAGAAUAUAUUGAUAACAAACCUGUAAACAUAAUCUUGAAUUAUCUAACAAUAAAGCUUCUGUAUAUGCAAUGAAUCUUAUAUAACUAAGCAACUCAGUCUAUAUUCUACUUAUAUCCUCUAUAAAGAGUAUAACUAACAAUAAAAGUUCAAACAGAAAAUUAUAGGAUAUAACCAUAGUUGAAAAAUGUUGAUUUUGUGCGGAUAUCCAAUUUCCGAAAAAACGGAUAUAUCCGAAAUUCGAAAACAAACUAUACAAUACAAUUCGUCCAAUAUCCGAUUUGAGAUUUUUUCACCUAAGGAUAUAACCCCAACCCCAAAUUUGACGUCAAAAAAAAUAUAAUAUUCAAUAUCUCCUAAUAAAAAAUCAUUAAGGGAGCCCUAAAUAUAUAUAAAUUUCAUGAAGUACCCAAUUCCUCUAUAGAGGAUGUGAGAAGUAUUUAAAAUCCAACUUAUUCUAAACUACGCUAAAUUUCUCACUAAACUAAUUUACAUAAACAUACCAAAUAAAAUCAAUAUAAUUGAAUCUUUGCUCAGUUUCCGCCACAAUUCAAUGUAAAUUAAAUUUAAAAAAAAAAAAUAUUCUUAAACCUUCUUACUUCAUAGAAACACAAGAGAACUAAAGCAAGUCAUGAAAUCAAUCAAUUUAAGUGUAAUUUAAUUCAUAAAAAAAGAAAGAAGAAUAAAGAAAGAGUUUAAAAAGAAUACAAACCCUAAUUCAAUAAUUUGCAUAAAUUGUUUGAAAAUGAUGAGGCAGGUUUCUGCAGCAUGUUUGAAGCAGAAACUCCUCUCAAAAACCCUAACCCUACAGAGCUUUUUGCCUUCUUCGUUCGACUCUUCGAAAAUGAAAAAAAAUGGCAAAUUCGAGAAGAGAGAGAGAGAGAGAGAGAGAGAGAGAGAGAGAGAGAUUCCUUCUUAAUGCAAAGCGUUUCGGGUGAGUUUUGUAGUUUCGUAUUUUAAAAUACCAAUACUAACCUUGAUUCGUAUAAUGAUAUACGAAACUACCACUUUGGAAGUUGGAAUGUUUUUUUUUUUGCUAAAAAUAGAAACAAUUAGACACGAAACUGAUUCAUUUGCUAUGACUCUUGCUAUUUACAGCCAAGAAUUUUUUUGUACUAUUCACCACCAAACUUAUUAAUCCAUGAACACCAAGAUGUUAUAGUGAUGAAUAGUAAAAUAUUUUGUAAAAGUGGCCAAUUUUUUUCAAAUAAAAUGCAUGGAUGUAAAUGUAACACUGUGGUUUCCAAGUACCAAAGUUAUUGUUGACAAUGGUGUGGUAGGAAGAAAAAGAAAGAAAAGGAUUAUUCCUUAUGUUUGUUAUAUACUACUAUGUAUUUAAGCAUAAGCUUUUUGGAAUUUUGGUUCAUGUUAGUAGUAAAAUGUGGAUCAACAUGUUUUUAAGAUUGAAAGUAAUCCUUUUUAUUAUGCUUUAUUUAUUCUCCAAAAACACUUUAAGCAAAGAAUUAUAUUCAUGUACCUUUGCUAGACAAUAAUUAUCCUAGUUGUAACUUUGCAUAUAAAUAUGUUUCUCUGCUUUUAGUUAUCAUGUAUACACUGUACAGCACCUUAGAAAUUAUAUGCACCAAUGACCCAUAUGUAUAACAUAGAUAAAUCACCUAUAGAGCAUGUUUAUCUUGCAGUUGGCUUGAGUCUGAUCCAUAAUUUAGUGAGUGAGUUCAACUAUAUCAACUUGUUGUACUGGGGAAUUUCACUAGAUGAUUGAGGUUUCUUGGUAGCACAUCGGUCGCUAAAAAUAAUCCAAUGCGUCGACUCUAACAAAAAUUUACCUCCUUAAUACAUGCUUCCUAUUAUUGUCUGUGAUGAAAUGCAGGGCCGAAUAAUUAUCUUCCCUAACCAAAUCUGCAGGCAGCAGACAUUCACACAAAAAUUUACCAUCGACAUCCUCAUUAUUGAAUAUGACCCAAGCUACAAAGGACUCUUACUUUGCUGAAGUUGCAAAUUUCUUUUGAUUAGUUCUCACUUUUGACUCUUAAUCCACAACACUUUACCUAAAGUUUCUCAUUUUGAUGCAUAUACCACGGUGAUUUUCACUUAAUCCCCAUAUACACAAUUGGCCAUUUUUUUUUCUCAGAAAGCUCAGAUGAUGCUAGUGCUGCAAGUAACACACAGCCUAAAAACACCUCCAUUAAACUCUUUGAUCUAAUAGACGGAGCCGUUUCUACAGCUAAACAUAUAGUUCGAAAGAGCUUGGCUCAAUUAUAGCUUUGAAAUUGCUUUAAAGCACCGAGGACAGUUAACCUUCCAUCUCUAGCUGGGAGUGCAUUGUGCCAAAAUGUAAAAUUCUGUCGAAAUAUUGUCUAUGGUGGUUACAUACUAACAUGCAAUAGCAAUCGCUGUUGAUAGAGAGAGAGAGAGAGAGAGAGAGAGAGAGAGAGAGAGAGAGAGAGAGAGAGAGAGAGAGAGAGAGAGAGAGAGAGAGAGAGAGAGAGAGAGAGAGAGAGAGAGAGAGAGAGAGAGAGAGAGAGAGAGAGAGAGAGAAAUGCAAUCACAGGGACGUGGAAAAUGUAAUCAGAGGUAGGGAUCCAUCCAUAUCGGCCAAAGUACUCCCAGAUUAUUAUAUACUGGCAUACAUAUAUUAAUACCAUACAGUUCAGUUGGCAGACCGUAUCAACAUUAUAGCCAAACCUGCUCAAUCAAGAAAAGAACAACUGAAUUGGCCUCCUAACAUGCAUAAUUUCUCUGCUUUAGUGACAGCAUCCAAAGGAAGGGGGAUGAAACUCCGAGAUGGGCCAUAGAAAUGAGGAAAAUAGUUGACCCCAUCAACAGCUUCAUAAAUCAAUCCAUUUCCAAGCUACACAAAG
Molecule: long non-coding RNA, 15217 nt
Filed under: Aquilegia coerulea
Lineage: Eukaryota; Viridiplantae; Streptophyta; Magnoliopsida; Ranunculales; Ranunculaceae
Description: long non-coding RNA (ACOE_LNC000244)
Source: RNAcentral